Long non-coding RNA from Scylla paramamosain (green mud crab), 1831 nucleotides. RefSeq lists it as uncharacterized. NCBI's taxonomy places the organism in Eukaryota, Metazoa, Arthropoda, Malacostraca, Decapoda, Portunidae. The transcript is spliced from 3 exons. The record is from RefSeq and is a predicted model, not a curated record.
CAAUGCAGGACCACUAAUUAUUAUAGUAUCUCUUCUUUCAUAUUGUUCUACAUCAUCUAGUUGAUUUUCAAGUUUGCUGACUGUAUCCUCAAGUGAGGUCACUUUGUCCUGCAACUUUUCAAUUUUUUCAUCUUUUUCCUUGGAAAGAAUAGACAGAGCUUUCACUAUUGUGUUCACUAUCACUUUACCUUCUUCGGACAGACGAGCAAUGUCACUGGAGAUGAAGUCAAGGAUGUUUGUUGUGGGUGCUUGUCCCAUGGCUUGAGUUAGUGUCUUGACCAUCUCGGCUAUGGCUGUCCCCUGCUUCUGUCCAACUGGAGUAGAUACCACAGCUGCUACGUCAGACCCUGCCGCACUCCUUGUCUGCACCAUUUAGCUUGCGAGAAUCCAAGUAGUAGACUACGUGCAGGUAUAAUGGAGUAAACAGGUACAGGGGCGAAUCUGCGACGAGCCGGGGUUUGUUUACGUUUGGCAAAUAUUGUUGGAACAGUCCAGCGGCGGAGGCAGGGGACUUGUUUUGCUGGCUUAUUCUUCCUUCACAUCCUUCUACUCUACACAACCCGCAACAUAAACACUUACAAAGCCAGAGGUCACAAGAAGAUUGAAAUAUGGAACUACCAGUGACAUUAGCACAUGACAGAGGCCUGAAAAUGGAAGAAGGCAUCUAUAUAUGGAAAUAUAAGUGGUAUUAACACAUGACAGUGACUUGAGAAGGGAAGAAAGAGAGUGAGAUAUGGAGAUAUAAAUGGCAAUACCAUAUGACAGUGGCCUAAGGAAAGGAGAUUGAGAUAUGGAAAUAUAAGUGGCAUUAGCACAUCACAGUGGCCAGAGAAAAGAAUGGGUAUUCAGAGAUUCCUUAAACCUUGUUGAGAUGCAUGAUGGCAGGCUUCUACAGAAAAAAAAAUAAUGGUGUGACAAGCUGGAACCAGCAAAUAUUGUUUGUGUGACAAAGAGAUCUCAUGCCACCUGCCCACACACGUGCUGGCAGCAUUGCCAUUCUAUACAUGUAGAAGCUUCCAGAGUUUUGUGGGAGAUAUUUGUGGACUUAGUCAAGCCGGAGAUUCAUCAAUAGGCAGUUUGGUCAUCUAUACCUGCUUGGAGACAGUGGAUAGCCCUUGGAGCCCUUUGUGAUGACACCUGCUGAUCCCACAGAGCAACAGUACAACAGGAGCCAUGCCAAGACAUGUUUUUUUUGUAGAACAAACUUUUGGUAUCCUCAAGACUCCUCAAAUGCUUUCAUAGGAGUGAAAGAGCAGCAGCAUUCCAGUAUGAGUUGGUACAAUGUGCAAGAAUUGCACUUGCUUGUAUAAUCCUGCAUAGCCGUUGCAUAAAUAGAAGACUUCCCUUGCAGGAACAAGCUGCAGGUGAUGAACAACAUCCACAUACAGAUGCUAGUAGUGUUAAUGUUGGGCAUGGAGGGGUUACAAGAUGAGAACUUGUCUGUCAAGUACUUACACUUCACCGCUGAAACUUGGUAUAUUGGGUAGUGAAAGUAAAUUCCCAUGUAGCUACUUAAGAAUGUUGUGUAUUAUUAUUGUGGGAUGUUUUUUUCUUUUCAGUAGUUUCAUUGAUUUUAUAAGUUGCUUAUCACAAUGAUAACUUGAAUUCCUUGUAGUUUCACAUCUAAAUAUGAGAAAUAGCUGAUAUGAUGAUCAGGUUGGAAUUAGUAUGGGCUUAAAUAUAUUCUUAUUUCUAUAUUUUGUGAAAUUUUGUAAUAUUACAAAUGUGUAGGAAAAGAGAUCAUAGCUAACAUAAAUCAAAAUAAAUAUUGUGAAACCAGAAAUAAAUUAUGUGAUUUUUCUAUUUGAAAAUAUAGUUUUAGCAAACUAAA